Molecule: ribosomal RNA, 448 nt
Filed under: uncultured bacterium
Lineage: Bacteria
Description: bacterial SSU rRNA
Rfam family: Bacterial small subunit ribosomal RNA
Source: RNAcentral
AACCAGACUCCUACGGGAGGCAGCAGUGGGGGAUAUUGCACAAUGGGGGAAACCCUGAUGCAGCGACGCCGCGUGGGCGAAGAAGUAUUUCGGUAUGUAAAGCCCUAUCAGCAGGGAAGAAGAAAUGACGGUACCUGAGUAAGAAGCACCGGCUAAAUACGUGCCAGCAGCCGCGGUAAUACGUAUGGUGCAAGCGUUAUCCGGAUUUACUGGGUGUAAAGGGAGCGUAGACGGCACUGCAAGUCCGGAGUGAAAGCCCAAGGCUUAACCAUGGGACUGCUCUGGAAACUGUGGAGCUUGAGUGCGGGAGGGGCAGGCGGAAUUCCUAGUGUAGCGGUGAAAUGCGUAGAUAUACGGAGGAACACCAGUGGCGAAGGCGGAUUGCUGGACAGUAACUGACGCUGAGGAGCGAAAGCGUGGGUAGCAAACAGGAUUAGAUACCCGAGUA